Molecule: long non-coding RNA, 946 nt
Organism: Nicotiana tabacum (common tobacco)
Lineage: Eukaryota; Viridiplantae; Streptophyta; Magnoliopsida; Solanales; Solanaceae
Source: RefSeq, a predicted model, not a curated record
GUCUUUCUUUCCUAAACAAGUUCUUCUAUCUAAAAACUCUAUUCUCUCUUCUCUUUUCAAGCUUUCUCUUCUUUAGUUGAAUCCUCCAAUCUUAACUAACGAUCUUGGGCUAGCACAAGGCCUCCAAUAAUACUUUUCUUCUGCUAUUCUUUACAAUGAGUGUUUUCCUGGCUCGUCUAUAAUGGCUUAAACUUAUGCAAAGGAUUUCGAAAUUGUUGAAGAAAGGUCAUAUAAAUACACAAUGGAAAGGGGUCAUUGUCAAGUGAAUUUUAAGAAGGAUAAAUAUGUCAAGAUAUCUGACUAUAUGGAGGUGUCAAAUUGGAUGAAAAGGCCAUUGAAGAACUUAUCAGGAAACAGUAUAUCACAUGUGCUAUAACUCAUUAUCCUAGCUUUCAAAGACACACAAGAGAGGAGGUCUAUACGGGUGCCACUGAGUAAGAAAUAGUGGAGAGGGAGGCUAGAUCCGAACAUGCCCUCCUGAUUGUAGGAUUUGGUACAGAUGAAAAGGGAGAGAAGUUUUUCUCGGUGAAGAACUCCAACGGGAAGAGGCAGGAAUUCCAAGGCUUCGGCAAAAUCAAGUGUAGCAUUGCAAGAAGGUUAGCAUCUUAUUGAGCGUCGUUGCAAGUAGUUUGGAAGAAGGUUGUUGUUUGUUUUUGUGAGGAGAUGUUUUUGUGAGGUAUACCAACUAUUUUGAGAAGACAGGACAAUAGAUUUAUGAGGAAUUUUCAGAAACCAUUAUUGUUUAGUGGUUAUUAACUUCCUAUAACUACCAUAUACAUAAUUACUUCCUAAAACUAUUAUUUAGUUGUUAUGCGACUGUUUUCGUUAUAUUCAUGCUACUAUAUUCAUGAAUACAGUAGCGAAAUUCGCCUAAAAUAGGGGAAUCCAGAUGUGCGACUGUAUUUGUUGUAUUCGCGCUACUGUACUCAUGAAUACAGUAGCAAAA